Molecule: ribosomal RNA, 245 nt
Filed under: uncultured delta proteobacterium
Lineage: Bacteria; Deltaproteobacteria
Description: partial 16S ribosomal RNA
Rfam family: Bacterial small subunit ribosomal RNA
Source: RNAcentral
UACGGAGGGUGCAAGCGUUGUUCGGAAUUAUUGGGCGUAAAGCGCGUGUAGGCGGUCGGGCAAGUCAGAUGUGAAAGCCUCCCGCUCAACGGGAGAAGUGCAUUUGAAACUGCUCGGCUAGAGUACGGGAGAGGAGAGUGGAAUUCCCGGUGUAGAGGUGAAAUUCGUAGAUAUUGGGAGGAACACCAGUGGCGAAGGCGGCUCUCUGGUCCGAUACUGACGCUGAGACGCGAAAGCGUGGGGAG